CGUAGGGUGCAAGCGUUAAUCGGAAUUACUGGGCGUAAAGCGUGCGCAGGCGGUUUUGUAAGUCUGUCGUGAAAUCCCCGGGCUCAACCUGGGAAUUGCGAUGGAGACUGCAAGGCUAGAAUCUGGCAGAGGGGGGUAGAAUUCCACGUGUAGCAGUGAAAUGCGUAGAGAUGUGGAGGAACACCGAUGGCGAAGGCAGCCCCCUGGGUCAAGAUUGACGCUCAUGCACGAAAGCGUGGGGAGCAAACAGGAUUAGAUACCCUGGUAGUCCACGCCCUAAACGAUGUCUACUAGUUGUCGGGUUUUAAUUAACUUGGUAACGCAGCUAACGCGUGAAGUAGACCGCCUGGGGAGUACGGUCGCAAGAUUAA
RNAcentral lists this ribosomal RNA (371 nucleotides) under uncultured organism. RNAcentral's name for it is "bacterial SSU rRNA". It matches the Rfam family "Bacterial small subunit ribosomal RNA", at positions 526 to 897 of the family's 1533-position model. The record is from RNAcentral.